RNAcentral lists this ribosomal RNA (760 nucleotides) under uncultured Streptococcus sp. Its description in RNAcentral is "bacterial SSU rRNA". It matches the Rfam family "Bacterial small subunit ribosomal RNA", at positions 83 to 831 of the family's 1533-position model. Lineage: Bacteria; Bacillati; Bacillota; Bacilli; Lactobacillales; Streptococcaceae. The record is from RNAcentral.
UUCUCCGGAUGAGUUGCGAACGGGUGAGUAACGCGUAGGUAACCUGCCUGGUAGCGGGGGAUAACUAUUGGAAACGAUAGCUAAUACCGCAUAAGAGUAGAUGUUGCAUGACAUUUGCUUGAAAGGUGCAAUUGCAUCACUACCAGAUGGACCUGCGUUGUAUUAGCUAGUUGGUGGGGUAACGGCUCACCAAGGCGACGAUACAUAGCCGACCUGUGAGGGUGAUCGGCCACACUGGGACUGAGACACGGCCCAGUCUCCUACGGGAGGCAGCAGUAGGGAAUCUUCGGCAAUGGACGGAAGUCUGACCGAGCAACGCCGCGCGAGUGAAGAAGGUUUUCGGAUCGUAAAGCUCUGUUGUAAGAGAAGAACGAGUGUGAGAGUGGAAAGUUCACACUGUGACGGUAUCUUACCAGAAAGGGACGGCUAACUACGUGCCAGCAGCCGCGGUAAUACGUAGGUCCCGAGCGUUGUCCGGAUUUAUUGGGCGUAAGGCGAGCGCAGGCGGUUAGAUAAGUCUGAAGUUAAAGGCUGUGGCUUAACCAUAGUACGCUUUGGAAACUGUUUAACUUGAGUGCAAGAGGGGAGAGUGGAAUUCCAUGUGUAGCGGUGAAAUGCGUAGAUAUAUGGAGGAACACCGGUGGCGAAAGCGGCUCUCUGACUUGUAACUGACGCUGAGGCUCGAAAGCGUGGGGAGCAAACAGGAUUAGAUACCCUGGUAGUCCACGCCGUAAACGAUGAGUGCUAGGUGUUAGACCCU